Molecule: RNA transcript, 285 nt
Organism: Homo sapiens (human)
Lineage: Eukaryota; Metazoa; Chordata; Mammalia; Primates; Hominidae
Gene: DEFA9P
Gene name: defensin alpha 9, pseudogene
Exons: 2
Source: RefSeq, marked validated
AUGAGGACCCUCACCCUCCUCACUGCCAUUCUCCUGGUGCCCCUCCAGGCCCUGUCUGAGCCACUCCAGGCAAGAGCUGACUAGGCUGCAGCCCAGGAACAGCUUGGGGCAGACGACCAGGACUUUACCAUCUCCUUCACUGGGGACACAAGCUCAGGUUUUAGAGCUUCAGGCCCAAGAACCCUCUUGAGAUGCUCUUGCAGAAUAAGAGAUUAUCAUCUUCAAGAACGCAACUAUGGAACCUGCACCUCCGGUGAGAUUCACUACAAAUUCUGCUUCCUCUGA